Molecule: ribosomal RNA, 253 nt
Filed under: uncultured bacterium
Lineage: Bacteria
Description: partial 16S ribosomal RNA
Rfam family: Bacterial small subunit ribosomal RNA
Source: RNAcentral
GACGGAGGGGGCUAGCGUUGUUCGGAAUUACUGGGCGUAAAGCGCACGUAGGUGGCUUUGUAAGUUAGAGGUGAAAGCCCAGGGCUUAACCCUGGAAUUGCCUUUAAGACUGCAUCGCUAGAAUCGUGGAGAGGUGAGUGGAAUUCCGAGUGUAGAGGUGAAAUUCGUAGAUAUUCGGAAGAACACCAGUGGCGAAGGCGGCUCACUGGCUCGGUACUGACGCUGAGGUGCGAAAGCGUGGGGAGCAAACAGG